CUCCCAGAGUGCUGGGAUUACAGGGUGAGCCACUGCACCCAGCCAACAUUUCAUUUACUUAUUCAUUCAAAGUAAAUUGUAGACAUCUGUAUUCCUCACCCUUAACAUUUCUUGGUCUGGGUGGUUUCUGAGCCCUGACGGCCACCAUCCCCCUCUUCCAGGUUCCAUGUAAACCUGCUGUGCGGGGAGGAGCAGGGCUCCGAUGCCGCCCUGCAUUUCAACCCCCGGCUGGACACGUCGGAGGUGGUCUUCAACAGCAAGGAGCAAGGCUCCUGGGGCCGCGAGGAGCGCGGGCCGGGCGUUCCUUUCCAGCGCGGGCAGCCCUUCGAGGUGCUCAUCAUCGCGUCAGACGACGGCUUCAAGGCCGUGGUUGGGGACGCCCAGUACCACCACUUCCGCCACCGCCUGCCGCUGGCGCGCGUGCGCCUGGUGGAGGUGGGCGGGGACGUGCAGCUGGACUCCGUGAGGAUCUUCUGAGCAGAAGCCCAGGCGUGCCCGGGGCCUUGGCUGGCAAAUAAAGCGUUAGCCCGCA
This 532-nucleotide small RNA is filed under the name Pan troglodytes (chimpanzee). RNAcentral's name for it is "retained intron". The record is from RNAcentral. Lineage: Eukaryota; Metazoa; Chordata; Mammalia; Primates; Hominidae.